RNAcentral lists this unclassified non-coding RNA (347 nucleotides) under Hevea brasiliensis (rubber tree). The record is from RNAcentral. Lineage: Eukaryota; Viridiplantae; Streptophyta; Magnoliopsida; Malpighiales; Euphorbiaceae.
AAAAAAAAAAAAAAAGGAAAUGAACAAAUUAUCUAUUCUAAUAAUUGGCUUAACCAGUUAGUACAGAACCUGGUACUGUGGCUAUUUAAAAAAUGUGACAUGACUUAUGAACCUUAACUGACCUAACCCAGAAAAUUCAGAUUUUUCGCUUAGUUCAAAUUGCAUAUUUAACAUCAAUGCAACUGUUUAACUUUUAUGUUUAAUUCAAAAGUUCAAAUGCAGUACUAAAGAACCAAGAAAACCACCUAUAUUUUGGAACAGAAGCGGGCAACUUUCCUCUCUAGUAAUAAUUAAUCAAGAUAAGCCUUUGAAACAUGAAGAACAAAAAAAAAAAAGUUAGGACUGAA